AGCGUUAUACACGAAGGAGGAAAAGCAACAAAGAGCUUGAAGACUUUCAUGGCUCCCAGGCCCUGGAUGGAGGCAGGCGGCCUCAGAAGGACAGAACCAAGGAGAUGCCUGUGGCUGCAGAGCCCAGACUUGUCUUGGAAAAGAUGGAGAAGAGCCAGUCAACUUGGCUUCCUUGCUUCUGCUCAUCCCCAUCAGCAGAGAGAAAUAAUGACUCCCGAAACAUUUCAGAAUCAAAAA
Molecule: long non-coding RNA, 237 nt
Organism: Nyctereutes procyonoides (raccoon dog)
Lineage: Eukaryota; Metazoa; Chordata; Mammalia; Carnivora; Canidae
Exons: 3
Source: RefSeq, a predicted model, not a curated record